Molecule: long non-coding RNA, 309 nt
Filed under: Lathyrus oleraceus (garden pea)
Lineage: Eukaryota; Viridiplantae; Streptophyta; Magnoliopsida; Fabales; Fabaceae
Description: Pisum sativum (pea) long non-coding RNA (PSAT_LNC012772)
Source: RNAcentral
UUCCUUCGUUAUCUUUUGUCCCAAUCACCACUUCUUCAACCAUCAUUUUUACCUAUCUCUCUCUCUCUCUCAUCGUGGUCUCACCACCUAUUCAUUUUUAUCGUUGUCUCACUUUACAUAGUCUUCAUGCGUUACUUUGUUAUCAGUUGAUGAUUUGAUAUGAUGUGACAAAAGGAGGAUCCACCGCUUUGAAGACACUGAAUACUACAACAUGUUAAUUUUUUGUUUCUUUAGGAGUGAUCUAGGGUUUGGGUUUUUUAGUUUCUUUUGUUUGUGUUUUGAAAAAUUAAAGUUUCAUUUCGGUUUCAC